CUGGUCUGAUUGUGGAUUUUAGGGGUUCUCACCCCCUUGAUUCAACUAAGUAUCACGUUCUAUUUUUCUUCUUCAGUUUAUUGGGAUUUUUCUUAAAUAAGGCUUUGAUUUAUUGAAGAUAUGAUGAUGGGUUUUGUUUUUAUUUUGUAGAUUAUGAAAGAAGGUUUAUUGGAAUUGAAUGAGAAGGAUGGAUCUAGCUCUUAUGAAAUCAGAGAGAUAACCUUCUAGGAGGGGGCUCUCUGUUGGUUCCAUCAACAAGGCCCUAUUCACUGAUGGCCAGUUCACUCAGACAAGUUCCCCAUCUAUUUGCUCACACCAACUUGAAGGCUGCAAACAUUUUGCUUGAUCAUGAAUUCAUGCCUCGUCUAUGUGACUCUGCUCUAGCUGUUUUGAGGCCAUGUAUUGGCAAUACUACCGACCUUAAGAGCAAUGUUUAACUUUUUGUCUUAUUGUAAUGCAAUCUUUGUAAUGAAUUACCAAAUCCAUAUUUCUGAGCUUGGAAUAGAUAAUGAGAAAGACUAGAAUAGCUUUAGCUAUAUUUCUGAACUUGUAUUCUGACUUCACAACUGCUUUAGUUGGAAUCUGUCUUGUA
Papaver somniferum (opium poppy) is the source of this 592-nucleotide long non-coding RNA. RefSeq lists it as uncharacterized. Lineage: Eukaryota; Viridiplantae; Streptophyta; Magnoliopsida; Ranunculales; Papaveraceae. The transcript is spliced from 3 exons. The record is from RefSeq and is a predicted model, not a curated record.